AUCGGGAAGUGUCAUAGUAUCACAGAAGGUAGUACAAGAUUGCAAUCCCGAACAGAAGCAGCAUGCUAUAACUCAACCAGUGCAAGGCAGCCAACCAAUGAUAAGUGCCGCACAGCCUCAAUUUGUUGUCCAGAACCAACUCCAGCAACCUCAAGUCAUUCUCCAGGCUCAGCCUCAGCAACCUCAAGUCAUUCUCCAGGCUCAAAUCCAGCAACAGCAGCCUUUGGUUCAAAACCACACAGUUCUACAUGGUGAUCUUCAACAAGCCCAGCUUCUACAGCAACAGGAACCACAUUUACAGCAGCAGCCACAACAGGUUCAGCAAUCAGUGCAGGAACAGCAGCAAAUAAAGAUACAACCUGUUCAGGUACUGAAUGGCACAAACGUGAUCACACAGCUUUCUGAUCAUCAAAUGAAAAUACAACUAUUGAAGGCUCUUCAGCCUCAG
RNAcentral lists this long non-coding RNA (448 nucleotides) under Setaria viridis. Its description in RNAcentral is "long non-coding RNA (SVIR_LNC007479)". The record is from RNAcentral. Lineage: Eukaryota; Viridiplantae; Streptophyta; Magnoliopsida; Poales; Poaceae.